This 477-nucleotide ribosomal RNA is filed under the name uncultured bacterium. Its description in RNAcentral is "bacterial SSU rRNA". It matches the Rfam family "Bacterial small subunit ribosomal RNA", at positions 328 to 793 of the family's 1533-position model. The record is from RNAcentral.
UGACAGUACUCCUACGGGGAGGCAGCAGUGGGGAAUAUUGCACAAUGGGCGCAAGCCUGAUGCAGCCAUGCCGCGUGUGUGAAGAAGGACCUUCGGGUUGUAAAGCACUUUCAGUCGUGAGGAAGGUAGUGUAGUUAAUAGCUGCAUUAUUUGACGUUUAGCGACAGAAGAAGCACCGGCUAACUCCGUGCCAGCAGCCGCGGUAAUACGGAGGGUGCGAGCGUUAAUCGGAAUUACUGGGCGUAAAGCGCAUGCAGGUGGUUUGUUAAGUCAGAUGUGAAAGCCCGGGGCUCAACCUCGGAAUAGCAUUUGAAACUGGCAGACUAGAGUACUGUAGAGGGGGGUAGGAAUUUCAGGUGUAGCGGUGAAAUGCGUAGAGAUCUGAAGGAAUACCGGUGGCGAAGGCGGCCCCCUGGACAGAUACUGACACUCAGAUGCGAAAGCGUGGGGAGCAAACAGGAUUAGAUACCCUGGUAG